UAGCUCAGUUGGUAGAGCAUGGUGUUUGCAAUGCCAGGGUUGUGGGUUUGAUUCCUAC
Molecule: transfer RNA, 58 nt
Filed under: Salmo salar (Atlantic salmon)
Lineage: Eukaryota; Metazoa; Chordata; Actinopteri; Salmoniformes; Salmonidae
Rfam family: tRNA
About the family: Transfer RNA (tRNA) molecules are approximately 80 nucleotides in length.
Source: Rfam by way of RNAcentral